GACGAACGCUGGCGGCGUGCUUAACACAUGCAAGUCGAACGGAAAGGCCCUGCUUUUGUGGGGUGCUCGAGUGGCGAACGGGUGAGUAACACGUGAGUAACCUGCCCUUGACUUUGGGAUAACUUCAGGAAACUGGGGCUAAUACCGGAUAGGAGCUCCUGCUGCAUGGGGGGGGUUGGAAAGUUUCGGCGGUUGGGGAUGGACUCGCGGCUUAUCAGCUUGUUGGUGGGGUAGUGGCUUACCAAGGCUUUGACGGGUAGCCGGCCUGAGAGGGUGACCGGCCACAUUGAGACUGAGAUACGGCCCAGACUCCUACGGGAGGCAGCAGUGGGGAAUAGUGCACAAUGGGCGGAAGCCUGAUGCAGCAACGCCGCGUGCGGGAUGACGGCCUUCGGGUUGUAAACCGCUUUCGCCUGUGACGAAGCGUGAGUGACGGUAAUGGGUAAAGAAGCACCGGCUAACUACGUG
This 468-nucleotide ribosomal RNA is filed under the name uncultured bacterium. RNAcentral's name for it is "partial 16S ribosomal RNA". It matches the Rfam family "Bacterial small subunit ribosomal RNA", at positions 28 to 507 of the family's 1533-position model. The record is from RNAcentral.